GAUCCUGGCUCAGGAUGAACGCUAGCUACAGGCUUAACACAUGCAAGUCGAACGAAGAGCGAUGGAAGCUUGCUUCUAUCAAUCUUAGUGGCGAACGGGUGAGUAACGCGUAAUCAACCUGCCCUUCAGAGGGGGACAACAGUUGGAAACGACUGCUAAUACCGCAUACGAUCCAAUCCCGGCAUCGGGACUGGAUGAAAGGUGGCCUCUAUUUAUAAGCUAUCACUGAAGGAGGGG
Molecule: ribosomal RNA, 237 nt
Filed under: uncultured bacterium
Lineage: Bacteria
Description: partial 16S ribosomal RNA
Rfam family: Bacterial small subunit ribosomal RNA
Source: RNAcentral